AGAGUUUGAUCCUGGCUCAGGACGAACGCUGGCGGCACGCCUAACACAUGCAAGUCGAACGGAGAAAAUGAUUUCGGUUAUUUUCUUAGUGGCGGACGGGUGAGUAACACGUGAGGAACCUGCCUCUGAGAGUGGGAUAGCUUCUGGAAACGGAUGGUAAUACCGCAUAACAUAGCGAAACCGCAUGAUUUUGCUAUCAAAGUAUUUCGCUCAGAGAUGGCCUCGCGUCUGAUUAGAUAGUUGGUGAGGUAACGGCUCACCAAGUCGACGAUCAGUAGCCGGACUGGGAGGUUGAACGGCCACAUUGGGACUGAGACACGGCCCAGACUCCUACGGGAGGCAGCAGUGGGGGAUAUUGCACAAUGGGGGAAACCCUGAUGCAGCGAUGCCGCGUGGAGGAAGAAGGUUUUCCGAUUGUAAACUCCUGUCGUAAGGGAAGAGAAAGGACUGUACCUUACAAGAAAGCUCCGGCUAACUACGUGCCAGCAGCCGCGGUAAUACGUAGGGAGCGAGCGUUGUCCGGAAUGACUGGGUGUAAAGGGAGCGUAGGCGGGAUGGCAAGUCAGAUGUGAAACCUGAGGGCUCAACCUUCAGACUGCAUUUGAAACUGCUGUUCUUGAGUGAAGUAGAGGUAAGCGGAAUUCCUGGUGUAGCGGUGAAAUGCGUGGAGAUCAGGAGGAACAUCGGUGGCGAAGGCGGCUUACUGGGCUUUUACCGACGCUGAGGCUCGAAAGCGUGGGGAGCAAACAGGAUUAGAUACCCUGGUAGUCCACGCUGUAAACGAUGAUUACUAGGUGUGGGGGGAUUGACCCCUUCCGUGCCGCAGUUAACACAAUAAGUAAUCCACCUGGGGAGUACGACCGCAAGGUUGAAACUCAAAGGAAUUGACGGGGGCCCGCACAAGCAGUGGAGUAUGUGGUUUAAUUCGAAGCAACGCGAAGAACCUUACCAAGUCUUGACAUCCUCCUGACCGGUCCUUAACCGGACCUUUCCUUCGGGACAGGAGAGACAGGUGGUGCAUGGUUGUCGUCAGCUCGUGUCGUGAGAUGUUGGGUUAAGUCCCGCAACGAGCGCAACCCCUAUCCUCAGUAGCCAGCAUUUAAGGUGGGCACUCUGGGGAGACUGCCAGGGAUAACCUGGAGGAAGGCGGGGAUGAUGUCAAAUCAUCAUGCCCCUUAUGAUUUGGGCUACACACGUGCUACAAUGGCGUAAACAAAGGGAGGCGAGAUCGUGAGAUGGAGCAAAUCCCAAAAAUAACGUCCCAGUUCGGACUGUAGUCUGCAACCCGACUACACGAAGCUGGAAUCGCUAGUAAUCGCGGAUCAGAAUGCCGCGGUGAAUACGUUCCCGGGUCUUGUACACACCGCCCGUCACACCAUGGGAGUCAGUAACGCCCGAAGUCAGUGACCUAACUGCAAAGAAGGAGCUGCCGAAGGCGGGACCGAUGACUGGGGUGAAGUCGUAACAAGGUA
This 1472-nucleotide ribosomal RNA is filed under the name metagenome. RNAcentral's name for it is "bacterial SSU rRNA". It matches the Rfam family "Bacterial small subunit ribosomal RNA". The record is from RNAcentral.